Molecule: ribosomal RNA, 253 nt
Filed under: uncultured bacterium
Lineage: Bacteria
Description: partial 16S ribosomal RNA
Rfam family: Bacterial small subunit ribosomal RNA
Source: RNAcentral
UACGAAGGGUGCAAGCGUUAAUCGGAAUUACUGGGCGUAAAGCGCGCGUAGGUGGUUCAGUAAGUUGGAUGUGAAAUCCCCGGGCUCAACCUGGGAACUGCAUCCAAAACUGCUGAGCUAGAGUACGGUAGAGGGUGGUGGAAUUUCCUGUGUAGCGGUGAAAUGCGUAGAUAUAGGAAGGAACACCAGUGGCGAAGGCGACCACCUGGACCGAUACUGACACUGAGGUGCGAAAGCGUGGGGAGCAAACAGG